GAUGAACGCUGGCGGCGUGCCUAAUACAUGCGAGUCGAGCGAACAGACGAGGAGCUUGCUCCUCUGACGUUAGCGGCGGACGGGUGAGUAACACGUGGAUAACCUACCUAUAAGACUGGGAUAACUUCGGGAAACCGGAGCUAAUACCGGAUAAUAUAUUGAACCGCAUGGUUCAAUAGUGAAAGACGGUUUUGCUGUCACUUAUAGAUGGAUCCGCGCCGCAUUAGCUAGUUGGUAAGGUAACGGCUUACCAAGGCAACGAUGCGUAGCCGACCUGAGAGGGUGAUCGGCCACACUGGAACUGAGACACGGUCCAGACGCCUACGGGAGGCAGCAGUAGGGAAUCUUCCGCAAUGGGCGAAAGCCUGACGGAGCAACGCCGCGUGAGUGAUGAAGGUCUUCGGAUCGUAAAACUCUGUUAUUAGGGAAGAACAAAUGUGUAAGUAACUAUGCACGUCUUGACGGUACCUAAUCAGAAAGCCACGGCUAACUACGUG
This 497-nucleotide ribosomal RNA is filed under the name uncultured bacterium. RNAcentral describes it as "partial 16S ribosomal RNA". It matches the Rfam family "Bacterial small subunit ribosomal RNA", at positions 28 to 507 of the family's 1533-position model. The record is from RNAcentral.